CCAACAUAUUGUGCCUCCUUAUGUCUCGCUUUCAUUUGGCACUCAGAGGUGAGUCAGAAAGUCAUGUCAGAAAGUUCCCCCUUCAUAAUUUAUUUAUAUUUUUGUUUUUAUGCAUUGGCCCAUCCUCCUUAAUUUUCUAAAUGUCUUGGUCUACUUGUGCUCAGAUGUGAACACAGAAGGAAAAAAAAAUAUCAAAGAACUUGGUUCAAUUUUACACCAAAGUGCAAUUUGUUGAAGGGACUUUUACUAAAGGUAAAAAUUAGAAAAUUGUUAGAAAUUCUUUUAUUUUUCAUGUUGAUCUAAGUGUCAACUGUUAUUGAUGCACAUCUCCCCGUCUGAAUGUGCCUCGAUGCCUUCAGAAUUGUUGUGAUUUUACUGGAACCUUCCCCUAAUCUGACUUUUUGUUUUCCCAAAGAAGAAGAAGGAAAAAAAAGUGUGUAGGUGUGUACAUUUAACACUGUAAAUAGGAGCUGCUCGUGUAUGGCAGCCUGAUCAGAGCCGUACAGGUUGAAACACUAGGGGGAGCAGUCGCCACAGGAAGGAAGAGUGGAAAUAACAAAGAAGGGAGAAAAAGAUUUGUUUUUGUCAGUUUGUGUAAAGGAUGAUAUCUGAGGUUGAUACCAUCUUAAAAUUGACUUUCAGUCUGACAGCUUGGUAGCUACAUGAAAGUGAGAUGAAGCCUCUGGCCUGAGAGAGCGAGGCAGCUAGAGAUUCUGGUGGACUGACAGCCGAGGGACCAGAGAAACCUACUGAUGUGCUUGAGUAGACGUAUUUAUAAUUGAUUUUUCUUUAUUUUUGUGGGAUUGGGGCCUGUUUUCCAGACGCAGAGACGUCUGCAAGUUUGUGCAUGCUGUUGUUGUUAUCAAACUCGUUCGGGUAAUCGUAUAAGCUUGGACUUUUGAGUCACUUUCCAAAUUACAGCAGCAAAGAGAACCAAACUUUUGCGCCCUUGAAUUGAAUUUUUCACUCGGCUUGUUUUCUUCUUGGCCUGUUGUGAUAAACAUACUGAUAGAAAAGAGGAAAAAAAUUAUUUCUUUUUUAUUUGUAUUAAGUCUUCUAAAGUCUUGUCUCUUUGUCUUUUUAUUAUGGACAGGGAAAUAUCAUGCUUGCUUUUAAAAAAAAAAAAUGUAAAUAAUGUAUAUUUUUCUACAAAAAAAACCUUAAAAGCACUCACUAGUGAAUAGCACUUAAUGAUGGUAUUUAUAUUUUUAAAAAAUUGUAUUUAUUUUAUUGCCAUUUUUGUAGAAAAUAGGGGUUUACAAACACUAAUACUUGGUCUCUAUGUUUUGUAUCCCGCUGCCUUCCAGAGUUUUUUUUUUUUUUUUUUAAUAAUUGUUUUUGUUUUCUUUUUAAAAUUCGUACCCUGAAUGUUUUCUUUGAUUCCAAAGACUGAUGCUGGUCUAUCUAUGGCUUGGUCCCCAUUUAAGUUCAGUCCACCAGUAGCUCUUUUAUCUAUCCUGGGCCGUUUGGUCAGAGCUGACAUUUUUUUAUUAUUUUGUUGUUGUUGUUGUUGUUGUUGUUGUUGUUAUUAUUAUUAUUAUUAUUAUUAUUAUUAUUAUUAUUAUUAUUAUUAUUAUUUUAAUUGUUCCAGUCCUAGCUGACAGUAUGGCAGUCAUGUGAACUACUAUUAUGCACUUGAGAGAGAGAGUUUAGAUUGUUGAUCCAUAGCCGACUUCUCCUCUCUCCAGCCUUAUUGUCUCCACACCACAUCAAACCGAGGAUAGAGCCCUUAUGGAGGCGAUUCUAUCAAAGUGGUUCGGUCACUAAUGAGCCAAGGGUCGAUAGGCUUGCAGCCGAUUGGCAAUAUAUGAAAUAUUUACAUGUAAAAACCCCACAAAGAUUCCCGUCAGUUUAAGGCGUUAUGUCCUUGCAAAGACUUUGGCUAUAAUGAAGAGGUGCCUUUAUUUUAAUGCUACUUAUAGCACUCGUCAUAUCCGACUAGAGCCAUUGUAUACAUUAAAAGAAGCAUGGUGUUGUGGUGACUGCUCUUCAAUGCUCACCAGCAGUCUGAGAUCGUUCUUAUACCUUCAUCCAGUCUCCUCGUGGUUCACCUCAGUUCGUAAAUGCCUCUUCUCUCUUAAAAGCCUUCACGUCCUAAACAGAGUAUUUAAACAGAGAGUGACUGGUUCCACUGAGCAACUGAAGCCGAUUGCUCCGUUUGUCCCUUUUAAGGAAUUCGUCAUCGUGACUUCAUUGCCGCCUUUUAAGGUUGUUAGCGGCUCGCCCCUCAACCACCCUCUCAUUUGGUUUUGUAAAAGUGAAGCUAAAAUGGGUUGCACUUUAGCUGUGACACAGGCACUGAACAGGCGUAGGAAAAGCUCCCAAUACUGAAACCAGAAGCACAGACCGUCUCUGAGUUUGUGCAACAGGCCCUGAUAUUUCAAAUUUAUGGAUUGGUGUUGAUGACUCCGACAGUGGUGUUUGAGGCUCUAGCAAAGUGCACUUGACUCUGUUUUUAUUUACAUUUUUUAUUGUUUUACUUCAACAAAGUGAAGGCAGGGACCACACCAGCAGCCCUCUCCUUCCUGACGGUGUGGCGUGUACAAACCUCGGCUGCGCCUUUCCCACCGAGAGCCCUGACGCCUCCGCCGGCGGGCCAGCCGGGCGUACACAGUCCUACACUGACAACCGGGCUUGCUGGGUUCUGCUGCUAAAGGUCAACGAUGAAUGUAUAUUCUUCCUCCACAUCACCCAACUACCAGUUUUGCUGUGCCUGUGAGCGCUCCUCCUCCUCCGCAGCAGCAGGGAGCGUUGCAGUUCUUUUUGUUUUAUUUCUGGAAAGGAACUUUUUUGGGGGAAGGGGGGGGGGGGGGGGGUAGUUUCUUGUUUGUUUGUUUGUUUGUUUUUUGUUGUUUUUUUUUUUAAUGUGAUGAGAAAUGUAACUGUAUUAAUGUGGUUGUGAACUUCUUGAGGUCAUCCAUUUUUUCUGGUUGUUGUAGUGAAUGUUUUUUCUUUUUUAAUUUUCUUUUAUUAUUUUUUUAAUUUAGUUUUUUUAAUGUUUUAACAGGGACUUUUUAGACUGCUUACUUGAUGCGGUAAAAAUUAGGAGAUGGGUUUGUGGAGGCUUACCAGGAUUUUAAAGAUACCACCAAAAUGGCGUUUUUCUUUUAAUUUAAUUUUUUUUUUUUUUUUUUUUUUUUUUUGGUUUUUUUUGAUCAGGUUUUUUUUUCACGUUGGAAACCUCUCUCGUCUCCCUGACCACCUCUUUAUCUCUCUCUCCUAUGAAGCUUUUGGUUGUACUUAUCAUGUACUGUUUUUUGUAGAAAGUCAUAAUGCUGAUGUUGAAAACAUUUAAUUUAUUUAUUUCGUGCAACAUCCACCCUGAAUUGUUCUUUUACAAAUCAAGGUUUUGGAGAGGUCAGACAAGUACUUAAACCUGUAUUUGUAAUUUUUCUGAUUGUUUCACAUGUAUAGACGUUAUCAGCCUAGGGUGGGUUGCGGUGUCGCAGUAGGACGUGGAAAAGAGGGAUCACGAACGGGCUAGUUUGUUUCGCCUUGAUUAUCUGCCGUUGUCUUAUCAUUUUCUUCCCGCUCUCUGUAAUAACGGUAUUCACAGCAGUCAUAUUUUCUCCCAUAAAACAGGCGAUCUUUCUUUGUACACAUCAACGAAAUGAAGGAAAACCACCACCGUGAAAAUAAACCACAAACUACUUGGUUGAAUGUAUAAUUUGGAAACAAAGUUGUACAUAAGUGUAAAAAGAAAAGUUUCUAAUCAUGUUUAUUUUCUAUGCACUUUUUUAUUUAAGUGAUAGUUUAAAUAAUAAACAUGUCUCCUUUACUCCUCUGUCUCUCGCCUCAUUUACUCAAAUGUGAUUUGUAAAGGAUUGCACACUCUGGCUUUUAUAUACACUUUUCA
Molecule: long non-coding RNA, 3856 nt
Organism: Astatotilapia calliptera (eastern happy)
Lineage: Eukaryota; Metazoa; Chordata; Actinopteri; Cichliformes; Cichlidae
Source: Ensembl